GCGUUUCGGCUAACGGUAGGCCGAUCGACUCUCAUUCGAUACGUGCGGGUUCGAAUCCCGCAUCGCA
This 67-nucleotide transfer RNA is filed under the name Labilithrix sp. RNAcentral describes it as "tRNA-Glu". It matches the Rfam family "tRNA". From Rfam's summary of the family: Transfer RNA (tRNA) molecules are approximately 80 nucleotides in length. The record is from RNAcentral. Lineage: Bacteria; Pseudomonadati; Myxococcota; Polyangiales; Labilitrichaceae.